CGUAGGGUGCGAGCGUUAAUCGGAAUUACUGGGCGUAAAGCGUGCGCAGGCGGUCUGUUAAGACCGAUGUGAAAUCCCCGGGCUUAACCUGGGAACUGCAUUGGUGACUGGCAGGCUUUGAGUGUGGCAGAGGGAGGUAGAAUUCCACGUGUAGCAGUGAAAUGCGUAGAGAUGUGGAGGAAUACCGAUGGCGAAGGCAGCCUCCUGGGCCAACACUGACGCUCAUGCACGAAAGCGUGGGGAGCAAACAGG
This 252-nucleotide ribosomal RNA is filed under the name uncultured Burkholderia sp. RNAcentral describes it as "partial 16S ribosomal RNA". It matches the Rfam family "Bacterial small subunit ribosomal RNA", at positions 526 to 776 of the family's 1533-position model. The record is from RNAcentral. Lineage: Bacteria; Pseudomonadati; Pseudomonadota; Betaproteobacteria; Burkholderiales; Burkholderiaceae.